This 305-nucleotide ribosomal RNA is filed under the name uncultured bacterium. RNAcentral's name for it is "bacterial SSU rRNA". It matches the Rfam family "Bacterial small subunit ribosomal RNA", at positions 337 to 634 of the family's 1533-position model. The record is from RNAcentral.
GCCUACGGGGGGCAGCAGUGGGGAAUAUUGCGCAAUGGGCGAAAGCCUGACGCAGCGACGCCGCGUGAGGGAUGAAGGUCUUCUGAUCGUAAACCUCUGUCCGCAGGGAAGAACGGUCACUGUGCUAAUCAGCAGUGAAUUGACGGUACCUGCAAAGGAAGCACCGGCUAACUCCGUGCCAGCAGCCGCGGUAAUACGGAGGGUGCGAGCGUUAAUCGGAAUUACUGGGCGUAAAGCGCUCGUAGGCGGUAUGUCAAGUCAAGGGUGAAAUCCCCGCGCUCAACGUGGGAACUGCCUUUGAAACU